Molecule: long non-coding RNA, 396 nt
Organism: Drosophila albomicans
Lineage: Eukaryota; Metazoa; Arthropoda; Insecta; Diptera; Drosophilidae
Exons: 2
Source: RefSeq, a predicted model, not a curated record
GAAAUGUAAAUUAUUUUGCUUUGUAAGAGUUUUUAAAUUGCCAAAGUUGCAUUACAAAAAUUACCAAAAAAGGCAAAUGUAUCUUAAAGAUGUGCAUAUUUUUUGUGAGAGCUCGAAAUUGAGGAAGCUCUGCGCCAAAUGAAAAGAUAAAUAAGAAGUCCAACGCCUGUUGCCGAGUUCUUCGUCAUCGUCUUCGCUGUGUCUUUGCAUCGUGGCUGGCGGUUGAAGUAUUUUAUUGUAUACACGUGACGGACCAAAUAUUGCAAUUGUCACAGUCUUUGAAUUUUUGUUCAUUGACGCUCCCCGAAGGCAGCCGCGACUUGGAUGGCAGGAGACAUUUAAACGGAAACUUUCGAUUUGCAGCUUCAUUAAAAAUGUUUAGUGCUUUAUUCCCGA